Molecule: non-coding RNA, 4276 nt
Organism: Dermacentor andersoni
Lineage: Eukaryota; Metazoa; Arthropoda; Arachnida; Ixodida; Ixodidae
Source: RefSeq, a predicted model, not a curated record
CCGUAGUAAGCGCAAUAUUUUUUUGCAAACUUUCUCCUACAAUUACCGAAGCACGUUUAUUACAUAAAAAAGAGAGCGAAAUUAUCAUUGCUAAUUUGAUAUUGUAUUCUUUGUAAGUAAGUUUAUUGUUUCUUUGUCAUUAUAAACGCAAAUAGCGUUCAGCAUCAUCGAUCUUUCACGUGACCUCUGGCCUCGAUUUAAAAUUUUUACCGGUAUUUUCGAGUGCAUGGCGGCACGGAUUCAUUCGUUCGUGCGCUCAGACCGGUUGUUUCUUUUUCGCUAAAACUAGUUUAUUGCGCUUCGAUGUCACGCGUUAUUUAACCUGGGGUGAAGUGACGUGUUUGCAAGUGGACAUGUAAGCCCGAAAGUUGGGUAUCGGUCGUGAGCCAUUCGGAACACGUCUGCAUCGAAACGGGAGCUGGAUUCUGGUGCGGCUGAAAACGGCAAUAACGACAUGCAGUAAUGAGGAUGGCACCAGUAUAAAGCAACACACUCCACACACUAAACAGAAGCUGCUGCCUGCUACAACAAGGCCAUUGUGUGGACAUUGGCUGCUACUACAAGAGUCCAUGCCAAGCAUACCUUGGUCAUCACAGGAGCUCCUAUCCACACCAACAGAAAGGGGCUGGAGCUGAAUUUGCAAGGCUUUUACACCACGAACAAAGAAGCGCAUGCAGAAGAAUUUACAUGAGAUAUCAAGUCUGCAGAGCACUGUGUCAAGACUGAAAAGAGCUUCAGCCACCAUUCCACCAGCGCGGACAAAUUGGCUGAGUCAUCCAGGUAACUCAAAAAGGACUUUAUGGAAAUUCUUCGUCUCCAGAUGCGCCUGCAACUUCUGAUCAAGCACGGACGACGCUGGCCAAAAGAGUUCCAUCAGUUUGCCCUUAAUCAGCUUCCUGGCCAUGUCAAUUCCAUUUGUGCCAAGUGUAAUUUUUCUUCUAUAAAUGCAAGCUUUUUCAUUCUCCAUUCUCGUUAGAGAUCAUUCAUCCUCAUCAUCAUCAUCAUCAUCAGCCUGGUUACGCCCACUGCAGGGCAAAGGCCUCUCCCAUACUUCUCCAACUGCCCCGGUCAUGUACUAAUUGUGGCCAUGUUGACCCUCCAAACUUCCUAAUCUCAUCUGCCCACCUAACUUUCUGUCGCCCCCUGCUACGCUUCCCUUCCCUCGGAAUCCAGUCCGUAACCCUUAAUGACCAUCGGUUAUCUUCCCUCCUCAUUACAUGUCCUGCCCAUGCCCAUUUCUUUUUCUUGAUUUCAACUAAGAUGUCAUUAACGCGCGUUUGUUCCCUCACCCAAUCUGCUCUUUUCUUAUCCCUUAAUGUUACACCUAUCAUUCUUCUUUCCAUAGCUCGUUGCGUCGUCCUCAAUUUAAGUAGAACCCUUUUCGUAAGCCUCCAGGUUUCUGCCUCGUACGUGAGUACUGGUAAGACACAGCUGUUAUAAACUUUUCUCUUGAGGGAUAAUGGCAACCUGCUGUUCAUGAUCUCUGAAUGCCUGCCAAACGCACCCCAGCCCAUUCUUAUUCUUCUGAUUAUUUCACUCUCAUGAUCCGGAUCAGCAGUCACUACCUGUCCUAAGUAGAUGUAUUCCCUUACCACUUCCAGUGCCUCGCUACCUAUCUUAAACUUCCUUCCUUAAACUUCAUUCAUCCUCAUCCAAACAUAAAGGUCAACCAAUUCUUCGCUGAUACUUAAUACCAGUCACUGUCUAGUAGCAUAACAUAUCUGUAGCAGUACCUUUUAGUGCAUGUUGUCAUGCACGAUUCCUCUCCUGAAAUAGCUGAUGCAACAUCGACAUGUUUCUUGCAUUAACCUACGCACUGUUUGCAAUGGACCAUUUUACUUUUCUUGAUGUUUUUGGCCUUCAAUGCUUGCAGAGCAGGGUGGCUUCUCUCUUGAAUGCAAGCUUUCUCAUUUUCCAUAUUCCUAGUCUCGUUGAUGGUUGCUCUUCUUCCUCGAUAGCCUGGGUCUUUGCGCAAGCUACACUGAAUGAUAGAUUGCAGAAUCUUGUUUUGCUGCCCCACUUGGUUGUGGUCACCGUGUUACAUUUCUCGGAUGUGGGGGCCUGCUCAGUUACAUUGGUAAGCAGUCUCUCGAGGUAAGCAUUUGCUCCUGCAGUCCGCACAGCGACAUAGACUCCCAGUGUACACACACCAUAACUGGUGCUCCCCGUUCAUUUUUUCCUGCUGCAGCCAUGGGCAAAUUGUGCUUGUGGCCUACCUCGGCCAUGAUUUGCUCAAAACUGAGACCAGCAUAUGUGCUUACAUGGUUCGAAGUGUAUGAAGUUGAUAGCCGUACGGGGGGAAAUGCCUGCAAAAAUGGCUGCCAAAGGUGAUGCCCACGAAAGCGACUUGUCCAUAUUGAGACAAAGUGGGACACCAAAUGUGAGCCACACAUUAGUGGCCCUCGACAGAAAAGAAGCAUGCAGGUUGGAAAGGAGUUAAUGCUAAAAUGUCGGAUAGUCCAUUUCGCUGUGUUGGUUGCGACAGCAGAUGCCUGCGUCACCCGAUUGCUUCGCAAUGGAAGUUGCUCAUCUUCAACGGCUACUGUCGUUUCAAACAGGUGCGACGCUCUGUCCAAUCUGUUUGUACUGCUGUUUGUCACUCGUUACCAGACCACCACAUGUGACGAAGGAAAGCAUUAUGCCUGUAAGUAGGCGGCUGAAUGUAUCCUAAGAGACCCGUGUAUGUGAAUGCUCACUGUUGCCAUAUGGUUUGUAGCCAAUGUAUAAUGUAUUCUCUGAACACUAUGUUGUGAAUGAUUGCUGUUUAUUUUUGCUGUUCUCACUUGGUUACGGUCACCGUAUUAUGCUUAUCGGAUGUGGGGGCCUGGUCAGUUGCAUUGGAAAACAGUCUCUCGAGGUAAGCAUUUGCUCCUGCAGUCCGCACAGCGGCAUAGACUCCCAAUUUACACACCAUGAUUCGUGCUCCCCGUUCAGCCUUUCCUGCUGCAGCCAUGUGCAAAUUGUGCCUGCGGCCUUUCUCACUCGCAAUUAAGCACGAACGGAGACAAGCAUACGUGCUUACAUGGUCCAACGUGUUUUAAGUUCAUAGCCACAUGGGUGGAAAGGCCCGCAUAAAUGGCUGCCGAAGGUGAUGCCCACGAAAGCGACUUGUCCAUAUGGAGACAAAGUGGGACGCCAAAUGUGAGCCACACAUUAGUGGCCCUCGACAGAAAAGAAACAUGCAGGUUGGAAAGGAGUUAACGCUAAAAUGCCGGAUAGUCCAUUUCGCUGUGUUGGUUGUGGCAGCAGAUGCCUGCAUCACCUGAUUUCUUCGCAAUGGAAGUUGCUCAUCUUCAACGGCAAUUGUCGGUUCAAACAGGUGCGACGCUCUGUCCAAUCUGUUUGUACUGCUGUUUGUCGCUCGUUACCAGACCACCACAUGCGACGAAGGCAAGCAUUAUGCCUGUAAGUAGGCGGCUGAAUGUAUCCUAAGAGACCCGUGUAUGUGAAUGCUCACUGUUGCCAUAUGGUUUGUAGCCAAUGUAUAACGUAUUCUCUGAACACUAUGUGGUGAAUGAUUGCCGUUUAUUUUUGCUGUUAUCUCACUUGGUUACGGUCGCCGUGUUAUGCUUAUCGGAUGUGGCGGCCUGGUCAGUUGCACUGAAAAGCAGUUUCUCGAAGUAAGCAUUUGCUCCUGCAAUCUGCACAGCGACAUAGACUCCCAAUUUACACACCGCGAUAUGUGCUCCCCGUUCACGUUCAGCCUUUCCUGCUGCAGCCAUGGGCAAAUUGUGCCUGUUGCCUUUCUCGGCCGCGAUUAAGCACGAACGGAGACCGGCAUACGUGCUUGCAUGGUCCGACGUGUGUGAAGUUGGGUGCAAAGGCCCGCAAAAGUGGCUGAUGAAGGUGAUGCCCACGAAAGCGACUUGUCCAUAUUGAGACAAUGUGGGACACCAAGUGCGAGCCACACAUUAGCGGCCUCCGAAAGAAAAGUAACGUGCAGGUUGGAAAGGAGUUCAGGCUAAAAUGCCGGGUAGUCCAUGUCGCUGUGUUGGCUGCGGCAGCAGAUGCCUGGUUCACCCGAUUGUUUCGCAGUGCAAGUUGCUCAUCUUUAACGGCGACUGCCGCUGCAAACAGGCGGGACACUGACCAAUCUGCAUAAGCCGCUGGUUGUCGCUCGUUACUAGACCGCCAUGUGUGACGACGACGGUGAGCCGUUUACGAGCUCGCGUCGAAGAUUCCAGUGUAUCUCGACAUACAAAUUUUAUUUCUGCUAUUGCACGAGAAUGUACAUACACUGCUUGUCUUCUGCCAAUAAAGUCGCACGUUCUGUUCA